GUGUCAGCCGCCGCGGUAAUACGAAUGGGGCAAGCGUUGCUCGGAAUCACUGGGUGUAAAGGGUGUGUAGGCGGGGCUGUAAGUCAGAGGUGAAAUCCCACGGCUCAACCGUGGAACUGCCUUUGAUACUGCAGCUCUUGAGUCCCGGAGAGGUGGCUGGAAUUCGUGGUGUAGCGGUGAAAUGCGUAGAUAUCACGAGGAACACCAGAGGUGUAGACGGGUCACUGGACGGGUACUGACGCUGAGGCACGAAAGCGUGGGGAGCAAACAGGAUUAGAUACCCUGGUAGUCCACGCCGUAAACGAUGGAUGCUCGAUGCUGCGGCGUUUUUGCUGCAGUGUCCAAGCUAACGCAUUAAGCAUCCCACCUGGGGAGUACGCUCGCAAGAGUGAAACUCAAAUGAAUUGACGGGG
Molecule: ribosomal RNA, 413 nt
Filed under: uncultured prokaryote
Description: bacterial SSU rRNA
Rfam family: Bacterial small subunit ribosomal RNA
Source: RNAcentral